This 1353-nucleotide ribosomal RNA is filed under the name uncultured bacterium. RNAcentral describes it as "bacterial SSU rRNA". It matches the Rfam family "Bacterial small subunit ribosomal RNA", at positions 8 to 1379 of the family's 1533-position model. The record is from RNAcentral.
AGAGUUUGAUCCUGGCUCAGGACGAACGCUGGCGGCGUGCCUAACACAUGCAAGUCGAACGGAGCAAAGCCCUUCGGGACUUUGCUUAGUGGCAAACGGGUGAGUAACGCGUGAGGAACCUGCCUUUCAGUGGGGGACAACAGUUGGAAACGACUGCUAAUACCGCAUAAAGUUCUUCUGGGACAUCCCUAAAGAACCAAAGAUUUAUUGCUGAAAGAUGGCCUCGCGUCUGAUUAGCUAGUUGGCGAGGUAACGGCUCACCAAGGCGACGAUCAGUAGCCGGUCUGAGAGGAUGAACGGCCACAUUGGGACUGAGAUACGGCCCAGACUCCUACGGGAGGCAGCAGUGGGGAAUAUUGGGCAAUGGGGGAAACCCUGACCCAGCAACGCCGCGUGAAGGAAGAAGGCCUUCGGGUUGUAAACUUCUUUUACCAGGGACGAAGGAUGUGACGGUACCUGGAGAAAAAGCAACGGCUAACUACGUGCCAGCAGCCGCGGUAAUACGUAGGUUGCAAGCGUUGUCCGGAUUUACUGGGUGUAAAGGGCGUGUAGGCGGAGGAGCAAGUCAGAUGUGAAAUCCCGGGGCUUAACCCCGGAACUGCAUUUGAAACUGUUCCCCUUGAGUAUCGGAGAGGCAAGCGGAAUUCCUAGUGUAGCGGUGAAAUGCGUAGAUAUUAGGAGGAACACCAGUGGCGAAGGCGGCUUGCUGGACGACAACUGACGCUGAGGCGCGAAAGCGUGGGGAGCAAACAGGAUUAGAUACCCUGGUAGUCCACGCUGUAAACGAUGAAUACUAGGUGUGGGGGGACUGACCCCCUCCGUGCCGCAGUUAACACAAUAAGUAUUCCACCUGGGGAGUACGACCGCAAGGUUGAAACUCAAAGGAAUUGACGGGGGCCCGCACAAGCAGUGGAUUAUGUGGUUUAAUUCGACGCAACGCGAAGAACCUUACCAGGAUUUGACAUCCAACUAACGAAGUAGAGAUACAUUAGGUGCCCUUCGGGGAAAGUUGAGACAGGUGGUGCAUGGUUGUCGUCAGCUCGUGUCGUGAGAUGUUGGGUUAAGUCCCGCAACGAGCGCAACCCCUAUUGUUAGUUGCUACGAAAGAGCACUCUAGCGAGACUGCCGUUGACAAAACGGAGGAAGGCGGGGACGACGUCAAAUCAUCAUGCCCCUUAUGUCCUGGGCUACACACGUAAUACAAUGGUGGUAAACAGAGGGAAGCAAAGCCGCGAGGUGGAGCAAAUCCCUAAAAGCCAUCUCAGUUCGGAUUGCAGGCUGCAACUCGCCUGCAUGAAGCUGGAAUUGCUAGUAAUCACGGAUCAGCGUGCCGCGGUGAAUACGUUCCCGGGC